UCCCUAUCGUCUAGAGGCCUAGGACAUCGCCCUUUCACGGCGGUAACCGGGGUUCGAAUCCCCGUAGGGACGCCAU
This 76-nucleotide transfer RNA is filed under the name Acinetobacter baumannii ATCC 17978. Its description in RNAcentral is "tRNA-Glu". It matches the Rfam family "tRNA". Rfam says of the family: Transfer RNA (tRNA) molecules are approximately 80 nucleotides in length. Their secondary structure includes four short double-helical elements and three loops (D, anti-codon, and T loops). Lineage: Bacteria; Pseudomonadati; Pseudomonadota; Gammaproteobacteria; Moraxellales; Moraxellaceae. The record is from RNAcentral.